RNAcentral lists this ribosomal RNA (497 nucleotides) under uncultured bacterium. RNAcentral's name for it is "partial 16S ribosomal RNA". It matches the Rfam family "Bacterial small subunit ribosomal RNA", at positions 28 to 507 of the family's 1533-position model. The record is from RNAcentral.
GAUGAACGCUGGCGGCGUGCCUAAUACAUGCAAGUCGAGCGAACAGACGAGGAGCUUGCUCCUCUGACGUUAGCGGCGGACGGGUGAGUAACACGUGAAUAACCUACCUAUAAGACUGGGAUAACUUCGGGAAACCGGAGCUAAUACCGGAUAAUAUAUUGAACCGCAUGGUUCAAUAGUGAAAGACGGUUUUGCUGUCACUUAUAGAUGGAUCCGCGCCGCAUUAGCUAGUUGGUAAGGUAACGGCUUACCAAGGCAACGAUGCGUAGCCGACCUGAGAGGGUGAUCGGCCACACUGGAACUGAGACACGGUCCAGACUCCGACGGGAGGCAGCAGUAGGGAAUCUUCCGCAAUGGGCGAAAGCCUGACGGAGCAACGCCGCGUGAGUGAUGAAGGUCUUCGGAUCGUAAAACUCUGUUAUUAGGGAAGAACAAAUGUGUAAGUAACUAUGCACGUCUUGACGGUACCUAAUCAGAAAGCCACGGCUAACUACGUG